CUGAGCAAUUGUUUGAGCAUUUUGCUUAAUAUGUACUACUUCCUCCUAUCCAUCCAUCUAUAAUAAACGACACUUGUUAUGGAUCGGAGGUAGUAUGUAACUAUGUGAGCAUUUUUUUAUUACAGACUUCUUCAAUUUUUUAAACGGAAAUGAAGGUCAGAAAAGAGGGAUCAGCAUGACAGUGGCUUCUUUAAGAAAUUCAGCCCAGAAAAGAGGGAUCAGCAUCCAAAGCAAGGCCAUGGACUAUAGUUUAUAGUAAUCAUGCCCGUCGUCUAUGGUUUUGUUUUUCUUUCUUUCUCUUUUUUUGCCAGAACAAGCAGAAUGCACGGUCUUGUGAGGAACUUCAACCUGGUCAAUAUUACAGCAAAUACUAAGGCCUAUCAAGAUAAAUAUCAAGACUGAUGCAGCAAACUAGGUCGUCCAAGCAAAAUUCUUCAUGAAUGUCAAGCCACCAGAGCAAGCGCGUGGUUUCUUUUUUCACUUUCCUUGGUACAGUUUUUAAAUUCUUCAUGAAAAAUUGUUUUACAUCGUCAACCUACUCCCUCAGUUUCUUUAAGAAUGGCAUAUUAACUUUCAUUAAGAUAAGGCUUU
This 591-nucleotide long non-coding RNA is filed under the name Brachypodium distachyon (stiff brome). Its description in RNAcentral is "long non-coding RNA (BDIS_LNC003382)". Lineage: Eukaryota; Viridiplantae; Streptophyta; Magnoliopsida; Poales; Poaceae. The record is from RNAcentral.